Molecule: ribosomal RNA, 695 nt
Filed under: Rhodopseudomonas thermotolerans
Lineage: Bacteria; Pseudomonadati; Pseudomonadota; Alphaproteobacteria; Hyphomicrobiales; Nitrobacteraceae
Description: bacterial SSU rRNA
Rfam family: Bacterial small subunit ribosomal RNA
Source: RNAcentral
CGUCAGUGGCAGACGGGUGAGUAACGCGUGGGAACGUACCUUUUGGUUCGGAACAACACAGGGAAACUUGUGCUAAUACCGGAUAAGCCCUUACGGGGAAAGAUUUAUCGCCGAAAGAUCGGCCCGCGUCUGAUUAGCUAGUUGGUGAGGUAAUGGCUCACCAAGGCGACGAUCAGUAGCUGGUCUGAGAGGAUGAUCAGCCACAUUGGGACUGAGACACGGCCCAAACUCCUACGGGAGGCAGCAGUGGGGAAUAUUGGACAAUGGGGGCAACCCUGAUCCAGCCAUGCCGCGUGAGUGAUGAAGGCCCUAGGGUUGUAAAGCUCUUUUGUGCGGGAAGAUAAUGACGGUACCGCAAGAAUAAGCCCCGGCUAACUUCGUGCCAGCAGCCGCGGUAAUACGAAGGGGGCUAGCGUUGCUCGGAAUCACUGGGCGUAAAGGGUGCGUAGGCGGGUUUCUAAGUCAGAGGUGAAAGCCUGGAGCUCAACUCCAGAACUGCCUUUGAUACUGGAAGUCUUGAGUAUGGCAGAGGUGAGUGGAACUGCGAGUGUAGAGGUGAAAUUCGUAGAUAUUCGCAAGAACACCAGUGGCGAAGGCGGCUCACUGGGCCAUUACUGACGCUGAGGCACGAAAGCGUGGGGGAGCAAACAGGAUUAGAUACCCUGGUAGUCCACGCCGUAAACGAUGAAUGCCAG